UACGUAGGGGGCAAGCGUUGUCCGGAAUCAUUGGGCGUAAAGAGCGUGUAGGCGGCCCGAUAAGUCCGCCGUGAAAGUCCAGGGCUCAACCCUGGGAUGCCGGUGGAAACUGUCGGGCUAGAGUCCGGAAGAGGCGAGUGGAAUUCCUGGUGUAGCAGUGAAAUGCGUAGAUAUCGGGAGGAAUACCGAUGGCGAAGGCAGGUCUCUGGGCUGACACUGACGCUCAUGCACGAAAGCGUGGGGAGCAAACAGG
This 253-nucleotide ribosomal RNA is filed under the name uncultured bacterium. RNAcentral describes it as "partial 16S ribosomal RNA". It matches the Rfam family "Bacterial small subunit ribosomal RNA", at positions 524 to 776 of the family's 1533-position model. The record is from RNAcentral.